UACAGAGGGUGCGAGCGUUAAUCGGAAUUACUGGGCGUAAAGCGUGCGUAGACGGCUAUCUAAGUCGGGUGUGAAAGCCCCGGGCUCAACCUGGGAAUUGCAUUCGAGACUGAAUAGCUAGGGUACGGUAGAGGGAAGUGGAAUUUCCGGUGUAGCGGUGAAAUGCGUAGAUAUUAGGAAGAACACCAGUGGCGAAGGCGGCUCACUGGUCCGGUACUGACGCUGAGGUGCGAAAGCGUGGGGAGCAAACAGG
Molecule: ribosomal RNA, 253 nt
Filed under: uncultured prokaryote
Description: partial 16S ribosomal RNA
Rfam family: Bacterial small subunit ribosomal RNA
Source: RNAcentral